AAAAGCAGAAAAACUCUCUGGGGUCAGCCCUCUCUCUAGAAAUCAGUUCUCUCCUCGGCAAAAAUUUCACCCAAAUCAAAAUCCCUCAAAUCAAAAUGUGAAUCUCAUUUGUCAGGUAUGUUCAAAUCCCUAAUCUUUUCGUUUUUUUUUUUUUUUUGAGAAAGAAGCUGCUCUGCUUUAAUUGAUCGAUUUUGUGGAGGAAGAAUCAAAGAAACGAUUUAUGUUCCUAAUCGAUUUCGUAUUUCCUUUCCUUCUUAUUUGUUACUAUCUCAUAUCUAACUAAAACCCUAUAAAGAUUUAUAUAAGAUAUAUUUACAUUUGGGUAUUUUUUACAAUGAUUCUGUAAGACAAAAUUUCCAACAUGCAGUUAAGGAUAAAUAUAUUUUAAGCAAUUUCACAUUUGUAUUCUGAGAUUUCAUCUCGAAUUUCUCUGAACCAUUUGAUAAUUUACAGGAAUACAACAAAAAUAAUCACACAGAAAGAAUCAUUUAAAGCGUACUUGGUAUUAUUAUUAUUGAUUCCCGGUCUUGAUAGAAUCUUAUCUCUUUUCCAAGGUAAGUUAAAACCUUCUUCUUGAGAGACCUUUUACAUGUCGGCAUUUCAUUCUUAUUUUUUUUCUUAUAUGGUUAUGUGCCUAAUCAGUAGACAUGUAGUUUUUAAUUUUAUAAGGCAUACAUAUAUUAUUGUAUGGUUAUAAGAAAACAUAGUACUUCUUUGCGAAUGAUGUGGUGAAGUUAGAGUCUCUAGUGGUUCUCAAGAGGUCUUUCGAUAUUGUUAACAGUGCUUGAGAGGUAGUCUAAGUAUGUGAUUAACCUUGCACUAUGCAUCUGUUUCCUUGCUUGUGUGUCUUACUAAUCUUCAACAAUAUAUAUUGUUUUAUUGUGUUAUUCUUGUAUGCAAUCCAAAUAUUCUGGGCAGAGGACAAACCAUA
This 931-nucleotide long non-coding RNA is filed under the name Nicotiana tabacum (common tobacco). Its description in RNAcentral is "long non-coding RNA (NTAB_LNC010903)". The record is from RNAcentral. Lineage: Eukaryota; Viridiplantae; Streptophyta; Magnoliopsida; Solanales; Solanaceae.